AUAAAAUCCUAAUUUUAACCCUAAUAUCACAAAUCCCUAAUUUGUAUACUAAAUCCCUAAAUCUACAAUCAGAAAGGGAAAGAAAGGGAACGGGGAGCUCGAGGGGGAAACAGAAGGGAAGAAAGAAGGAAUCGAAGAACAGAGGGAGAGGGUGAGGGAACAGAGGAAGAAGAGAGGAAGGAGGAUCACUGCGCCGUGCUGCUCCCUGCGCCGGUUGCCGUCGCUGUCGCCAGAGCCAGAGGACAGAGAGAGAACGCUCGCAAGGGAGAGGACAAACGCGAGGAGAAGGAGAGCUCGUGCACGAAGGACAGCGCCGCCACUCCGUCGCCGUGCAGCUGUUGCUGCCACCCCGUCACCAUCGUUGUCGCGGCUGGAAGCAUAAAGUUCGAACAGAGGGGGGAGAAACCGCGAGUGAAGGGUGACGCUGGCCCUCUGUCGCUGCUGCUAUCACCAAGCAUCAUUGUCGUUGCCGCCAAAGGCCAAGGCCUUAUCGUUGUCAUCGAUUCUGCCUGGAGCCACCACCCACUUGUCACAGCGAGUUAGUUACUCUGCCACCGCUGAAUUUGUCGUGUUGAGACUGAAACUGCCACCUUGACUCUGGUUUGACCUUUUUCUUAAAUAUGACCCAUUUACACGUUUUAUUAUCACUGCCAUGCUUGUUCUGAGUUGAUUCUGGUAUAUGUCUUGUCUUGAAAUCCCCAGGGCUGUAAUUGUUCUUAAUUCCCAUCCAAUUUGAAUUCCCUAUUUCGCUGUAACUAUCAUUAUUGUUGUGGAAUUGUCGCCGUUGCGAGCAUGAUUAGAGAUAGUGCCAGAUUCGGAUUUGCGUGGGAAUUACCACUGCUGUGAGUCAAAAGGAAAAGCCGCUCCCAGCGUUUAAUCUAACGAGUUUCGACAUCGAGUGACACAGUUUGAAGACGCAAUUUGAAGCUGCGAGCGAUUAGUAGGUUUUCUUUAUGGUUUUAAUUGCUUUCAUAGAGUCCCCUCGCCAUUAUCCCUUGAUAUUUUACUUUAACAGAUGGAUAGGUGUUGUAUUUGAGUUUAUAUGACUUCUUAUGUAUAAGAAUUACUAUUAAUAAUACUUAUAUGAUUGUUAUUAUUAUUUGCAAUGCUUAUCUUUGAUACAUGUCUUGAAUGAAUAAAAA
This is a non-coding RNA of Arachis ipaensis, 1142 nucleotides long. NCBI's taxonomy places the organism in Eukaryota, Viridiplantae, Streptophyta, Magnoliopsida, Fabales, Fabaceae. The record is from RefSeq and is a predicted model, not a curated record.